Molecule: ribosomal RNA, 468 nt
Filed under: uncultured bacterium
Lineage: Bacteria
Description: partial 16S ribosomal RNA
Rfam family: Bacterial small subunit ribosomal RNA
Source: RNAcentral
GACGAACGCUGGCGGCGUGCUUAACACAUGCAAGUCGAACGGAAAGGCCCUGCUUUUGUGGGGUGCUCGAGUGGCGAACGGGUGAGUAACACGCGAGUAACCUGCCCUUGACUUUGGGAUAACAUCAGGAAAAUGGGGCUCAUACCCGAUAGGAGCUCCUGCUGCAUGGUGGGGGUUGGAAAGUUUCGGCUGUUGGGGAUGGACUCGCGGCUUAUCAGCUUGUUUGUGGGGUAGUGGCUUACCAAGGCUUUGACGGGUAGCCGGCCUUGGAGGGUGACCGGCCACAUUGGGACUGAGAGACGGCCCAGACUCCUACGUGAGGCAGCAGUGGGGAGUAUUGCACAAUGGGCGGAAGCCUGAUGCAGCAACGCCGCGUGCGGGAUGACGGCCUUCGGGUGAUAAACCGCUGUCGCCUGUGACGAAGCGUGAGUGACGGUAAUGGGUAAAGAAGCACCGGCUAACUACGUG